AGCAGUCGCCACGGUAAAACGUAGGUGGCAAGCGUUGUCCGGAAUUAUUGGGCGUAAAGGGCUCGCAGGCGGUUUCUUAAGUCUGAUGUGAAAGCCCCCGGCUCAACCGGGGAGGGUCAUUGGAAACUGGGAAACUUGAGUGCAGAAGAGGAGAGUGGAAUUCCACGUGUAGUGGUGAAAUGCGUAGAGAUGUGGAGGAACACCAGUGGCGAAGGCGACUCUCUGGUCUGUAACUGACGCUGAGGAGCGAAAGCGUGGGGAGCGAACAGGAUUAGAGACCCCCGUAGUCCCUGUCUCUUAUAC
Molecule: ribosomal RNA, 303 nt
Filed under: uncultured bacterium
Lineage: Bacteria
Description: partial 16S ribosomal RNA
Rfam family: Bacterial small subunit ribosomal RNA
Source: RNAcentral